RNAcentral lists this microRNA (20 nucleotides) under Schistosoma japonicum. Its description in RNAcentral is "miRNA-3074". The record is from RNAcentral. Lineage: Eukaryota; Metazoa; Platyhelminthes; Trematoda; Strigeidida; Schistosomatidae.
ACGUGGAGCUGGCUGGCGGU